AACCAAUAUGUAAUGGCGGUCUUUAUAACCUAGAGAAACUCGCUUUUUAAUCGAAAACACCCGUUAAUUUUUACUUCACUUAAUUAGCCUAUAUACCGCCGUUUAGAGCUUAAUAAAAAAUAAACCCCAUAACCUCACACACAAAAAAUCAGGUCAAGGUGUAGUUGAUAGUGAAGAAAAAGUAAGUUACAUUAAAAAUAAUUUAAGGAUUUAAUACAAAAAUAAAACUGAAAAAGAAUUUAAAUGUACGUGGCAGUCAAAAACUAACU
RNAcentral lists this ribosomal RNA (269 nucleotides) under Pholcus bikilai. RNAcentral's name for it is "partial 12S ribosomal RNA". The record is from RNAcentral. Lineage: Eukaryota; Metazoa; Arthropoda; Arachnida; Araneae; Pholcidae.